UAAACGAUGUCGACUUGGAGGUUGUGCCCUUGAGGCGUGGCUUCCGGAGCUAACGCGUUAAGUCGACCGCCUGGGGAGUACGGCCGCAAGGUUAAAACUCAAAUGAAUUGACGGGGGCCCGCACAAGCGGUGGAGCAUGUGGUUUAAUUCGAUGCAACGCGAAGAACCUUACCUGGUCUUGACAUCCACGGAAGUUUUCAGAGAUGAGAAUGUGCCUUCGGGAACCGUGAGACAGGUGCUGCAUGGCUGUCGUCAGCUCGUGUUGUGAAAUGUUGGGUUAAGUCCCGCAACGAGCGCAACCCUUAUCCUUUGUUGCCAGCGGUCCGGCCGGGAACUCAAGGAGACUGCCAGUGAUAAACUGGAGGAAGGUGGGGAUGACGUCAAGUCAUCAUGGCCCUUACGACCAGGGCUACACACGUGCUACAAUGGCGCAUACAAAGAGAAGCGACCUCGCGAGAGCAAGCGGACCUCAUAAAGUGCGUCGUAGUCCGGAUUGGAGUCUGCAACUCGACUCCAUGAAGUCGGAAUCGCUAGUAAUCGUGGAUCAGAAUGCCACGGUG
RNAcentral lists this ribosomal RNA (560 nucleotides) under Brevibacterium sp. Its description in RNAcentral is "bacterial SSU rRNA". It matches the Rfam family "Bacterial small subunit ribosomal RNA", at positions 803 to 1364 of the family's 1533-position model. The record is from RNAcentral. Lineage: Bacteria; Bacillati; Actinomycetota; Actinomycetes; Micrococcales; Brevibacteriaceae.